Long non-coding RNA from Pelodiscus sinensis (Chinese soft-shelled turtle), 1206 nucleotides. RefSeq lists it as uncharacterized. The record is from RefSeq and is a predicted model, not a curated record. NCBI's taxonomy places the organism in Eukaryota, Metazoa, Chordata, Testudines, Trionychidae.
GCCAGAUACACACACAAACCUUGCCCCGGGGAACCCUGGAGGUUGUUGGCUCCCAUGAUUAAGAGGAUGAGAUGUAUUAAUUAAUCCCUCGGGCUCUUUUACAAACGAUCACAGGAUUGUUUCCUAAGAUCUGUAUGCUGAUUCCCUGAAGAAUGGGCUUGCUCAGUCGCCCAGACAAUGAGUGGGAGGCAGACCAGUAUGGGCGUUCCGAUCGCAGGCGCUGAAGUCAGCAUCACCCCAUGUAGUCCGGAGGGUACCGUGACCUGCGCUGGAGAGGGCAGCGGGGGUUCCUGCCAGCUGGGCCUGUCAUAUCACCAUCCAACAGGGGACCGACUGAAAAUCACAGGCUCACUCACCAUCAGAGGAGUCUAACCCGACUCCAUUUCAGACUCCGGGCCUGUCUUCACUACAGCAGUUCGCACUCUCACGUUACGCCACUCCCGCAGUGUCGGGUGGACAGACAUGAGGGUGCUAAGCCAGCGUGUCCAGUUUGAGUGAGAACAGCCACCCUGCAAACCAACACUCAGAGCUGCACAGAUGGAGUGGAUUGGCAGUUGUCAAACUUCAAGUCAAGGAUUCUCUUGGGAAAGAAACACUGAAGUUUCUCGGGCAUGGAGUGCGAUUCCUCACCUCCCUGCUGACAAGCCGAAUGCUUGGUGCUGUCUAGUGAUGAUUUUGCCCUUGGUGCAAUGGGGAAGCGAGCAGCCCCCCCUCGAGGAAUAAAAGCAAGAACUAAAAAGAAUGUUCACGUUUGUCUGCUAUUGCAACAGCAGGUAAUGGCUUAUUUCUUGCGGUGGGGUGUCUGCCCUACACUGGCAGAAGAAGCAAUCCCAAGGAGGUUGUGCAGGAGGCAGCCAAAUAGGAAAGGGAUUGUAGAGACCGCUAAGGAGAGCUAGGAUGGGCCACAUAAAUAGGGCUGUGGAACAGAACAGCUUCGGUCACUCCCUGGAGUUGGAGGAGGGAGAACUGGCUGCCCUAAAAGGGGGCUGGAGAGAGAGCCCCAUGGACAGAGCAGUGAUGGGCAGGGGAGGGAAACAUGAGCUGCCGGCCAGCUGCUGCCAGCCUGAGGCCCUGAUACAAAGGUGAAAAGUGGGCCCAGGGGAGCAGACAGCGGGGGUUGUAGGUGGUGCAGCAUGUGGCUGCUGGCUAGACGAUUCCCAGGCCCGGACGCGAGCAGCAGGCAGGCCUGGGUCUCCACCCCCUCCC